RNAcentral lists this long non-coding RNA (5943 nucleotides) under Gossypium barbadense (sea-island cotton). RNAcentral describes it as "long non-coding RNA (GBAR_LNC021885)". The record is from RNAcentral. Lineage: Eukaryota; Viridiplantae; Streptophyta; Magnoliopsida; Malvales; Malvaceae.
GAUAAUCAAUUUAUGUUAUAUAUGUUUUGAUCUAUGUUCGAUAUAUACUAUAUAAUGAUAUAUGCUGGGAUAUGUUUUAAGUGUAUAAAUGUUAUUUAUGUUAAGCCAGGUGGUUUGGACAUUUUUAUGUAUUAAGUACUUGUAAUAUGAUUUAUUGCACAUUGUUAAAUUGAAUAUGUAAUUAUUUAGACGAUAAUAAUAUGGUUAAUUAUUGAAGCAAGAGUAAAUUUAUCAAAGUCUGCUCUCUCUAGCACGUCUCUGUCUGCUCUCUCUAGCAGUAUUAGGGUUUUUUUGGUUUUGUUUUAUUGAUUUAAUGUGACGGCGUCUUCUAUUAAGAUCAUUCUUCUUACUUUCGACAUUAAGGUUUAGAGUAAGUAUGGAGACAGAAUUUGCGGGAUUAACAUUGGAGGAGGAGGAAGACGAAAUUUUUCAAAUUCAAUCUGAGGAGGAAACGAAUGGAGUAACGGAAGUCUUGCAAUUGGUGGGUUGUUUCUUAACGGAAAGUACUGUCCAUUUUCCAGCAAUGAGAAGUACUAUGGCAAAUUUGUGGCACCCCGUACGGGGAGUUCAAAUUAGAGAUUUGGGGGAAAAAAGGUACUUAUUUAAAUUUUUUCAUAUAAUGGAUCUUCCAUAAAUUGCAAAUGGGGGAGGACCCUUUGAAGGUCCCGCUUAUCUACUCACCUCUGUGGACCCACAUACAUGAUGUCCCAAUUGGUUUCGUAUCAGAAAAUCCAGCAAUUCAAAUGGGAAAUUUUAUUGGAGAGUUCCUGGAAUAUGAUGGUUCAUACCUGGGAAAAGAAAGUAGAAAUUUUAUGAGAAUACGCGUCAAAAUUGAUAUAUGGUACCCUUUAAAAAGGAAAAAACAGAUAAGGUGUUAUGGAAAGUGCUCAUAUGCUCAUUUUAAAUAUCAACGACUUUCACUUUUUUGCUUUUUUUGUGGUCGACUGGGCCAUAGCGAUUCCUUUUGUGAAACAAAGAUGGUGUUAGGAGCAGAAACCAAAGAGAUGGGAUGGGAUUUAUCAAUUAGGACACAGUCUCAUCGAGCUCAAAUGAUGACCAGUGUAUGGUUGCGAGAAGAAUGUGGGGACAAGGGAGAGGAAAUAAUAGGGAAAGUCAAACUAAGGAGGUUAACGUCAAGGAUCCAAUGGAUAAUAGGGGGAUUUGUGAAUUUCUUGAUCCAGUAUUGGGAAUUAAUUUGGUAGGAAGGGAAUAUCAUACAGGAAGUAAAUACAAGAAUGAAAGUGGUAAUUUGGAGAACAGCUCAAUGGAACAUGAUCUUGAAGAUGAUGUGAUCGUUAGAGAAGAGGGUAAAAAGAGAAACAGAAGGGACAUGGAAGAUGUCUUGGCCAAAGAGAAGACUAACGUUUUGGCGGAAAGGAGUAAGAGAACAGUGGAGGUUAAUCAUAAAUUAUCCGCGGCUGUCAAGUGGGCAGCUGACCGAUCACAAUGAAAAUUUUAAGUUGGAAUAUCCGUGGAUUGGGGAGUCCACGGACAAUUCAAAGGCUUCGUCAGUAUAUGCUGAAGCUAUACAAUCCCCAGAUAGUCUUCUUCAUGGAGACGAAAAUUAAUUGCAGUCAGAUGGAAAAAGUUAGAAGAAGCUGUGGGUUUUUAAACGAUAUUGAUGUUAGUUCAGAGGGAUCUAGAGGUGGGCUAUGUUUGGCUUGGCGAGCUGGGAUAAAUGUCCAGCUCCAAAGCUUUUCAAAAUGACAUAUUGAUGUGAUCAUUAAUGAUACAACAGAAGGGUACAAAUGUAGAUUUACAGGGUUUUAUGGGUCUCCAUAUCCACAAGAAAGAGUUGAGGCAUGGAAUCCUUUACGUCACUUAGGCAUGGUUAGGAAGCUACCAUGGAUGGUUUGUGGAGACUUCAAUGAAAUUCUGUAUAGUUUUGAGAAAAAAGGUGGUUUAUCGCGUGAGGAAGGACGAAUGGAAGCUUUUCGUAAGGUAUUGGAGGAGUGCAGCUUGUCUGAUAUGGGGUUUAAUGGAAACUGGUUUACGUGGGAAAGGGGGAAUUUGCCUGAAACUAAUAUUCAAAAGGGGUUGGAUAGGGGAGUGGCGAAUGAAGAAUGGUUACAAAUAUUCCUUGAAUUUCAGAUUCAGCAUCUCCCACAUACAUUUUCUAAUCAUUGCCCAUUAUUGGUUCAUACAAAAAAGGAAUGCAGAGAAAGGGUCCAUAAAGAAUUCAAGUUUAAAGCAUGGUGGGACUUGGAGGAUUCAUUCUUAGAAUAAGUUAAAAACAUCUGGGACAAUUCUGAGGGUGAGUUUUUAAGUAAGCUAAACAGUAUGAAAAGGGGGUUGGAGGGAUGGGCUAAAAAAAUACAUUACUCUAGGGAAGGAAGGAAAAAGUUGCUAUCCACAAAACUGGCCACAUUAUUAGAGGCGGAAAAAGAUAAAGAAAUUCUGGCAGAUCUGAUUGAUAUGAAAAUUCAACUGAACUUGGAGAUUGAAAAGGAUGAACGGUAUUGGGAACAAAGAGCGAGGGUUAACUGGUUAAAGCUUGGGGAGAAGAAUACAGCCUUCUUCCACAAACAAGCAACGCAGAAAAGAUAGAGGAACCUGACUCAAAAAAUGCAGAAUGAUCAUAGAAGGGAAAUAGAGGACUCAAAUGAAAUGAAGGCGAUAACCAGAAUUUAUUUUCAAAAGGUUUUUUCUGCGGGUAGAAGAGCAAAUUAUGAGCAUGUUUUGUCUGGAGUUACCCAAUGUAUAUCGGAGGAAGACAAUUUUAUGCUAAAAGAGAGAUACACAAAGGAGGAGAUUCAGCAGGCAUUAUCGUAAUUAGGGCCCACCAAAGAACCAGGGGAAGAUGGACUUCCAACAUUAUUCUACCAGAAAUGCUGGACGAUUAUUGGGGAUGAAGUGACUAACUUCUGUCUCGAUCAUCUAAAUGGAGGGAUGGAGAUUGGCCCAAUCAACAAAACAAAUAUCGUUUUAAUUCUAAAAAUUUCAAAUCCAGUGGAUAUUUCACACUUUAGGCCCAUUAGUUUGUGUAAUGUUAUAUAUAAAUUAAUGGCCAAAGUUAUUGCGAAUCGUCUUCGAAAAGUUUUAGAAAAAUGCAUUAAUCCUGCCCAAAGUGCUUUUGUGCCUGGGAGAUUAAUUUCGGAUAAUGUAUUGUUGGCAUAUGAGCUAUUCCAUACACAAACAGAAGAGGGUAGGGAAGAAAGGAUUUAUGGCGGUCAAGCUGGAUAUGAGCAAGGCGUAUGAUAGGGUAGAAUGAAACUUUGUGGAGGAGAUGUUGAAGAAAAUGGGCUUUGACUCAGAGUGGGUAGCUUUACUUUUAAGGUGUGUAAAUUCGGUUUCUUAUUCGGUGGUUCUUAAUGGUAAAAAUGGAGAAAUUUUCACCCCCUCUAGAGGAUUGCGACAAGGUGACCCAUUGAGUCCGUUUUUAUUCCUAUUUUGUGGAGAAGGCCUUUCUAGCCUCAUGAGGCUAGGAAUAUAGGAGAACAAAGUCAGAGGGGUCAAAGCAAGCAGAAGUGGACCACAGGUUUCACAUCUACUAUUUGCAGAUGAUUGUAUGCUGUUUGGGGAAGCAACAGAAAGGAGUUUAAGUUACUUGAAACAGAUUCUGCAUCAAUACGAAGCUUGUUCGGGUCAGAAGGUAAAUUAUUCGAAGUCUAUAAUUUUUUUCAGCAGCAACACACAGGAGGAAGAAAUACGAACAAUUAAUCGAGUUCUUAGGGUGCGAGGAUCAGAUGACAUGGAAAGAUAUCUAGGGCUCCCUAACUUGGUGGGAAGAAGGAAAAAAGCUGCGUUUCAGAUUUUAAAAGAUAGAUUCAGGCAACGAAUUGAUAAUUGGAGCAUCAAAUACCUCUCACAAGGAGGUAAGGAGAUUUUCAUCAAAGCUGUUUUACAAUCCAUUCCAACAUACGCAAUGUCUUGUUUUUUACUCCCUAUAUCUCUUUGUAAGGAAUUAGAAAGCAUUAUUGCAAAAUUUUGGUGGCAAAAAAAUAAGGGGAAAAAGGGGAUGCAUUGGUGUGCAUGGAAGGACAUUUGCUUAGUAAAAGAAUUAGGUGGUCUAGGUUUUAGAUGCUUAGAUAAGUUUAAUAUAGCAUUAUUAGCUAAACAAGGUUGGCGUCUUAUUAAUUAUCCGAGUUCUUUGUUAGCCCGAGUUUUAAAAGCUAAAUACUUACAUAGAAAGAACUUCUUGAAUGCAUCUUUAAGUAACUUACCUUCACUUACCUGGAGAAGCAUUUGGUCAACAAAAAAACUCCUGAUGGACGGAUUAUGCUAGAGGGUAGGUGUAGGGGACCAUAUCUCCGUAUGGAAUGAUUGCUGGGUUUCGGGAGCAACUGAAGAUAGAUUACAGAAUAACAGCAGAAGUGAAAGUAUCAGAGUAGUGGCCGACUUAAUUAAUGCAGAGAGUAGAACAUGGAAAAGAGACUUGAUUGUCAAUACCUUUAAUACGGAUAUCGCAAGGAAGAUUCUACGGAUUCCACUUUCAAAGACUGCCCAAGAAGACAUCCAAGUAUGGAGAGGGGAGGCUACUGGAGUCUUUUCAGUUAGAAGCGCUUAUAAACUAUUACAGGAGUCAACAUUAGAGCCUAAUGCUUAUUUACAGACUGAUACAAAAAAAUUUUACAAGAAAUUAUGGAAACUACAGUUGCCCUUAAAAAUUAAAAUUACAGUAUGGAGAAUAACGUGGAAUUACAUAUCCACUUUCUCUAAUCUAAAAUCGAGAAGAGGUUCGUUGUUUGAGAUGUAGCCAGGACGAAGAAGAUAGCAUCCACGUCUUCCAAAUGUGUCCUAUAGCAAAAGAAAUAUGGAGUCAUUUGAACUUUUCUUGGGUACUUAAUGACAAUCAUGGUGAUAUAUGGAGUUGGCUUAUCUGGGUAUUCAGCAAAGGGACAAAUGAACAGUGCAUGGGAUUUUGCUGCGGGCUAUGGGGAAUCUGGACAAGCAGAAAUAAGUUUAUAUAUGAAAGAAAAUAUAGUACCAGUUGGGAUAUAUCGAAGCAAAUUCAAAGUUAUAUUUUAGAACUAGAAGGUGUUAAAGAAAGGGUACUCACUUUGGCAACCAGUACAAGGCCUAGACAGAGGAUACGAAGGGCGAAUAAGGCCAUCUUUUUCGAUGCGGCGUUUGAUUCACAAAACCACAGAUCUGCGUCAGGUCUUAUUGUUAAAAAUGAGGCGGGCAGAAUCGUUGGAGCAAAAUCGAUCCUUCAUGACAAUGUUGCAUCUCCGUUUGCGGCGGAAGCAUAUGCAAGAUUUCAAGCAACAAGGUUAGGGAUCCAGUUGGAAUAUUAUACUUUGGAUAUAAUAGGAGAUUCAAAAACAGUGAUAAAAAAAUGUCAAAGUGGAAACCGAGACAGAUCAGAAAUAGGAGGAAUUAUCAGCGAUAUUCAAAGCUUCAAAGAUUUAUUCCACAAAGUCAGAUUUUACUUCAACUCAAGGUCUGAAAAUAUUGAAGCACACAGACUAGCAAAAAGAACACUUCAAACGGGAGUGGAACAGUACCUGGAGGGAGAGACCUUAAGAUCGAUUGGUGAAGACUCGGAGCCAAGCUGCUUGGGUAAUCUAGAGUAGAAAGGAAAGGGGAUAAGAUUUUGGCUUUUGGCAUCAAUAAAUGACGAUUGAAAUGAAAAGGAGGAUGUUGUUUGUAAAAGUAAUCUGAUAAGUAAAAGAUUUGAAAGGAUUUGCUUUUACUUUUCAGUUGUCUUGGGCAGAGGAAAAGGCAGAUGGAUUUAUGAAGACAACUGACCGAUCGACUGGAAUUUUGAAUUUGUUUAUUUUAUUAUUUUACUUAAGGUGGGCUAAAUUGAUGUAAGCCUGCUUUUGCUGGUUUUGUUUCUUAGGUUUUGUUUAUUGGGUUCGACCCAAGAGACGUUUUCGUUUUAAUUUUAGGGUGUUAAUCCAGUCGAUUUUUCAAAAAAAAAUUUAUUGAAGCACGAUUUUUAUGUGUGAUAUGACUAGAUCAAAAGUAUAAUUUGAUUUUGGUUGACUAUGUGACCCA